Long non-coding RNA from Lytechinus variegatus (green sea urchin), 1258 nucleotides. RefSeq lists it as uncharacterized. The transcript is spliced from 2 exons. Lineage: Eukaryota; Metazoa; Echinodermata; Echinoidea; Temnopleuroida; Toxopneustidae. The record is from RefSeq and is a predicted model, not a curated record.
CGAUUUAGUAAAAUGAUCUUUAGAGUUGAAGAUUUUGAUUAAAUUGAUUUUGGUUAUUGAAUUGUAAAUUCAAUGUUUCAGUUUUGUCUUUUCAGAGUAAAGGGUUACAAUAAUUGCUUACUAUGUGUAAUAAUUGUUACUUUCCUUUUAAAGGUAUUUGACAUGACAUUCGUGUAGCGGGUGAGGCUAUCACGAGAGGAAAUAUGGUCCUCUAGGCCAGAUUGCCAGGGGUUUUUUUUAUUUCUUUAUCUUUUGUUCCUGUACUUGGAAAUUUUGGAAUUUUGUAUAUAACGACUCAUCGAUAUUAAACGAACCGAAACACAAGAAAUGGUGUCGUGUGUCAUCUUCUACAUCAGUUUCCGCGUGUUACAAAGUGGCGCUGCGAGCAGGGUCGAUGUUCGUCGUUGGAUACAACCAUGUUCAAACCCUGACAAUCUGAGGAGCUCAUCCGUCUGUUGUACAUCUUGAAUUUGUAAAUAUGAACGUAGCUUUAAGAUGUAUUUGUGUGUGUGCAUGGUGUGAAUGUUGUAGCCAAAAUGUAGUUUGUUUGAAAGUAAUAUGAGGCUACAAUGUAUUUGAUAGGGAUUUAUACUAGUGGGAAGGUAUUUUAUGAGGUACCCUGUAAGAGUUUUCAGAUCAAAUGGCUUUGGUCAAGGGAAUACUUAGUACUGUUCAAGGUUAAUUUUGUGUUGUCAUGGUAAUGCUGUGUUUUGGAACAGUCCAUGCCCCCUUUCUUAUGUAAUUUUGGCUGGUUGGAUGGGAACCACACAUUGGGGUGUAGGAGGCCAGAGACACCAGUAUUUUAUAUGUUGAUAGGAGGAAGUACAGUAUGUGCAGAGUAAGCUCUGGGUUUGGCAAACAUGAUUAACUAAUGAAUAGUUGAGGCGUUUCUUUGUCUGAUACUUGAAGUUUGUUAACUCUUUAAUUUUUGUUUUGGGUCUUGAUUAAUAUUCGGUUUAAUUAAGCUAUGGCGUGAAUUAAUGUUAAUUGCUUUUCCAGAAUGUGUAUUUGAUAGUUUUAUAGGGCUACUUUGGAAAAAUUAGGGGAGCCCACAUGUUGAUGAAAGUGUUUUACUUUUAUGUGUCUGUGUGUUACAAUGGUUAUCAUAUUGUAAUAUGCUGAUCUUUCGGAUUUGUAACUGGGAUUUGGCUAGGAGUACUGCUAGGUUUAGUCAGGAUAAAGUAUCAAUGUUAAUUUCGAGAACCUCAAUCUGAGACCGGGAUUGCAUUAGAGGGAUACUGGAGUGACUAUUGGGGCA